Molecule: ribosomal RNA, 614 nt
Filed under: Lacticaseibacillus rhamnosus
Lineage: Bacteria; Bacillati; Bacillota; Bacilli; Lactobacillales; Lactobacillaceae
Description: bacterial SSU rRNA
Rfam family: Bacterial small subunit ribosomal RNA
Source: RNAcentral
UUUAUAUGAGAGUUUGAUCCUGGCUCAGGAUGAACGCUGGCGGCGUGCCUAAUACAUGCAAGUCGAACGAGUUCUGAUUAUUGAAAGGUGCUUGCAUCUUGAUUUAAUUUUGAACGAGUGGCGGACGGGUGAGUAACACGUGGGUAACCUGCCCUUAAGUGGGGGAUAACAUUUGGAAACAGAUGCUAAUACCGCAUAAAUCCAAGAACCGCAUGGUUCUUGGCUGAAAGAUGGCGUAAGCUAUCGCUUUUGGAUGGACCCGCGGCGUAUUAGCUAGUUGGUGAGGUAACGGCUCACCAAGGCAAUGAUACGUAGCCGAACUGAGAGGUUGAUCGGCCACAUUGGGACUGAGACACGGCCCAAACUCCUACGGGAGGCAGCAGUAGGGAAUCUUCCACAAUGGACGCAAGUCUGAUGGAGCAACGCCGCGUGAGUGAAGAAGGCUUUCGGGUCGUAAAACUCUGUUGUUGGAGAAGAAUGGUCGGCAGAGUAACUGUUGUCGGCGUGACGGUAUCCAACCAGAAAGCCACGGCUAACUACGUGCCAGCAGCCGCGGUAAUACGAAGGAGGCAAGCGUUUUCCGGCUUUCUGGGGCGUAAAGAGAGCGAAGGCGG